GACAGAGGGUGCAAACGUUGUUCGGAAUUACUGGGCGUAAAGCGUGUGUAGGCGGCCCGGUAAGUCCGCUGUGAAAGUCGGGGGCUCAACCCUCGAAUGCCGGUGGAUACUGUUGGGCUAGAGUGCGGGAGAGGCGAGUGGAAUUCCUGGUGUAGCGGUGAAAUGCGCAGAUAUCAGGAGGAACACCAAUUGCGAAGGCAGCUCGCUGGAACGUAACUGACGCUGAGACGCGAAAGCGUGGGGAGCAAACAGG
Molecule: ribosomal RNA, 253 nt
Filed under: uncultured bacterium
Lineage: Bacteria
Description: partial 16S ribosomal RNA
Rfam family: Bacterial small subunit ribosomal RNA
Source: RNAcentral